GUGUGUGUCUGUAAUUACGCAUUCUAUAGAUGGAGCUACUGAAUGAUGACUAAGACUAUUGACAAGCUGGUACUUAUGGAACGACGAAAGCUGUGAACUUUAACCUGUGUGUAACUUUCAACAGUUAAGUUAAAAGGUUUCCGUACUUUCACAGUUGAAAAGAAAAGGUACUGAUACAUGGCUUCUGGAAAUGACUCGAUGGCUGAUGAUGAUGUAACACAUUCCGUAAUCAGUAUUGACGUUGAGGAAGACCUUCCUUCUGAUAUAGG
Molecule: long non-coding RNA, 269 nt
Organism: Limulus polyphemus (Atlantic horseshoe crab)
Lineage: Eukaryota; Metazoa; Arthropoda; Merostomata; Xiphosura; Limulidae
Exons: 2
Source: RefSeq, a predicted model, not a curated record